Molecule: long non-coding RNA, 560 nt
Organism: Daphnia carinata
Lineage: Eukaryota; Metazoa; Arthropoda; Branchiopoda; Diplostraca; Daphniidae
Exons: 3
Source: RefSeq, a predicted model, not a curated record
GUUUUUAUUUGCUUUUCAACAUCCAUUUCAUAGUGGGACAUGUGGCUUUGAUUAAUAUUGCCAUAAAGACUGCCGAAAAUGGGUGUGGUACAGAAACCCAGAAAUGGAAAUGGCAGUAACAUCAAACAUGGAUUAGAAUUUUAGCGGUGGAUCAAGUCAAGUCUGGAAGUGUUACAGGAUGGAAGAGUUGGCCUACAGUUGAAAAAACAUUGAGAGUGCAUUACCAUUAAGGUAUGAGGUAAAGUAAUAGAGUAAUGCAAAUUGUCUAAUGAGAAGUAUCAUCUUGUGUUCAUGAAUCCGGUAUAACAGCAAUCCUUUAUAGUUCUGUCACAGCUAGAAGCCUCAAAUAAUUCUGCUUCUCUGGCUAAAGAACAACUUGUCCUUUACGUUCAGAGUCUUGGUGAAACUGGGUACUUAAAUGGCCCUAAAGAUAUUUCACUUCGCUGACGUUGCAGCGAUGAACAUCAUACAUGGACGCUUUAGGAAAGGAUUUUCAUCAUACUGGGAACACAACUAUCAACAAUGCAACAUUCUGCGGGUGCUAGUUUAUCAUUCAAGAG